Molecule: long non-coding RNA, 2246 nt
Organism: Bos taurus (domestic cattle)
Lineage: Eukaryota; Metazoa; Chordata; Mammalia; Artiodactyla; Bovidae
Source: Ensembl
UUUCAUGUGCCAGUGAAAAAAUGGCCUUUGAGAUAAAAUCCUAAGCAAUUAACAUGACCAUUAGGGUUUGGCCUCAGCUUCCAGCCUAAUGUCUGUUCAUGAAUUGUAAGCUUCAAUUUCAGUAUGACCACAUUCUUUCUUGGUAGUAGUUAACUCCUCACACCUUAAAUUGACUGCUUAACUGAAAACCUCACAUGCUGCACUAGAGAGUAAACUCACUGAGAGCAGAGACUGAGUUUCAUUCCCAGCGCAGUCCCUAAACACGCGUGCAUGCGAGCCCUCACUUCAGUCAUGUCCAAUUCUGUGCAACCCCGUGGUCUGCAGCCCGUCAGGCUCCUCUGUCCAUGGGAUUCUCCAGGCAGGUUCUUUACCACAAGGGCCACGUGGGAAGCCCACCUAAGCAUGCUGCUGCUGCUGCUAAGUCACGUGUCCGACUCUGUGCGACCCCAUAGACACCAGCCCACCACGCUCCCCCGUCCCUGGGAUUCUCCAGGCGAGAACACUGGAGUGGGUUGCCAUUUCCUUCAAUGCAUGAAAGUGAAAAGUGAAAGUGAAGCCGCUCAGUCGUGUCCAGCUCUUAGCGACCGCAUGGACUGCAGCCCACCAGGCUCCUCCAUCCAUGGGAUUUUCCAGAAGCCUCUUUGGAGUCUGACAGUGUUAACUUCUACCAGCAGACUCAAGUGGGGAAAAGCAGUGUUUUUUCAUGAAGCCUGGAUCUUCAGUCUUGUCUGACUCUUUACGACCCCAGUGACCGCAGCCCAACAGCUCCUCUGUCCAUGGAAUUCUCCAGGCAAGAAUACUGGACUGGGUUGCCAUGCCCUCCUCCAGGGGAUGUUCCUGACCCAGGGAUCGAACGCGUGUCUCUUGCGUCUCCUGCACUGUCACGUGGGUUCUUUACCAUUAGAACUACCUGAGAAGCCCCAAAUAAAGUGAUAACUGAUAUAAAAUGUAGUUUGAAAAGUCUCAAGGACAAUUCACAAAGGCAAAUGAAAACACCCUAGAGACUCCAACAAAGACCCAAACUAAGCCUUAACAGUUACACAGUGAAGAGAACGGUGCACGAUAAACACUGCUCCCGGAUCCAGAGCGGAAUGUCCAGUCCCCUUCCCGGGGGAGGCUAAUUCUACCUGCCUUUAUUGACCUUUCAGGCCUAACCUCCUCUGUGCAUUAUAGUUUUGAACUCAGAGACUGGCAUUUUUAAAAUGUCUUAGCAGUUGCCAGAAGCCGGGUUGGAAUAACCCUCCUGAACGGCCCUCAAGCUCUGCCUCCUAACAACACUAACAAUUACUAGGAAUAAUAAUAACCUUAUUUUAAAGUAGUUUUAAAAUUAGCAAGUGCUUUACCUACACAUUUAAGGCACAAACUAAUAAAUAAUGAGCUAUUACAAUUUCCACUGUACAGAGGAGAAAACUUAAGCCCAGCAACAGGGUAAAUGGCAACAGCCAGGGUUGAAGUUAGUGUCCAAACUCAUUCUCCAGACUCUGGAACUUGAGCCCACCAUUGGCGUGACAGCAAACACAGGUAUUUUAAACAUUAUGGGCACCAUCUUCCCACUGGUAUGGAAACUAAUCUUCAACAACAAGAAAGAUUUUAAGAUUUUAAAGCUGCAUGAUCCUGCCUUGAGUUUUUCAAAAGAAACCUGACCAGUUAUCUGAUAAUCUGUACAUGUAUAAACUGAUUUCUGGGAUCAAGGAAAAUUCCAUUGCAUUUGGUUAUCUUUUGAAUGUCGCAGACUAUUACCUCCCAGGGGCAAAAUUUCCUAAUUAUUGAAAAUCUAUAGAUGAAAGAAACUAUGUAGAUUAUCCCUCCACUUUGCAUGUUCUUCAUUUCCUCUUGAUGUGACACACGUAGCUUCUCAGAUAACUGUGUCAGUUUCAAACUAGGUACCUUAACACCUUUUGAGAAUUGCAGCCCACAGAUUCUUUCUUAAAUGAAUUGAAUAUUCAUCAAGUAUUCCAACAGUGUUUCUAGGAGUUAUUACUUUACGUUAAUCCAAAUUAGUUCUUCCUUCUCAUUAGUUGAAAGCCUAAUUUUCUCCUAAUGAAAUGUUGAAUAUGCAUAAAAUUAACUAAAUCAAGUAGUAUUGAGCAUUUUCAAAACACGAAAUUAAGGAUUUAAUAGUUCAUUCCUGCCACUAGAGGGCACCAGAUGCUCAGAAGCAUGAGCAUUAAAAAAAAUGCCAGUUUUUCAAGUUGCUAAAAAUUCAUUUUUAAAUUUUCAUUCAAUUUUGAAGUAUUUAAAAAAUA